CAGGGAUAAGAGCAAUGAGGCACACCCCUCAUCUCCUUUCAUCUGCUUCACCUUGGCUCUCAAUGUCAAGGUUAAGAGCACCAUCACCCAUUUCCAGAGGUUUGUUUGUUGAGGUUGAUAUGACCCCUCGACUAAAACCUAACCCUUGUGUGAGCCCCUUGUGUGUAUAUAGUGUGUGCUACCUGUGCUUGUAUGUUUGUUUGACUUGCUUCCUGUGCAAGUUAGGUUUAGUUUAGACUAAUCCUUGUUUGCUUUCGCCCUCGUUGCGAUCCUUUCUCUCGCCCUCGUUGCGAUCGAGCCUUUUCCUUUCUCUCGCCCUCGUUGCGAUCGAGCCUUUUCCUUUCUCUCGCCCUCGUUGCGAUCGAG
Molecule: long non-coding RNA, 366 nt
Filed under: Lathyrus oleraceus (garden pea)
Lineage: Eukaryota; Viridiplantae; Streptophyta; Magnoliopsida; Fabales; Fabaceae
Description: Pisum sativum (pea) long non-coding RNA (PSAT_LNC021942)
Source: RNAcentral